UACGUAGGGUGCAAGCGUUGUCCGGAAUUAUUGGGCGUAAAGAGCUCGUAGGCGGUCUGUCGCGUCGAAUGUGAAACCCCGAGGCUCAACCUCGGGUCUGCAUUCGAUACGGGCAGACUAGAGUUCGGUAGGGGAGACUGGAAUUCCUGGUGUAGCGGUGAAAUGCGCAGAUAUCAGGAGGAACACCGGUGGCGAAGGCGGGUCUCUGGGCCGAUACUGACGCUGAGGAGCGAAAGCGUGGGGAGCGAACAGG
RNAcentral lists this ribosomal RNA (253 nucleotides) under uncultured bacterium. RNAcentral's name for it is "partial 16S ribosomal RNA". It matches the Rfam family "Bacterial small subunit ribosomal RNA", at positions 524 to 776 of the family's 1533-position model. The record is from RNAcentral.